RNAcentral lists this ribosomal RNA (119 nucleotides) under Brassica oleracea var. oleracea. The record is from RNAcentral. Lineage: Eukaryota; Viridiplantae; Streptophyta; Magnoliopsida; Brassicales; Brassicaceae.
GGGUGCGAUCAUACCAACAUUAAUGCACCGGACCCCAUCAGAACUCAGCACUGAAGCGUACUUGUGCGAGAGUAGUACUAGGAUGGGUGACCUCCGGUGAAGUCCUCGUGUUGCACCCC